GCUCCCAUAGCUCAGUUGGUUAGAGCGUGGUGCUAAUAACGCCAAGGCCGCUGGUUCGACCCCAGCUGGGAGCA
Transfer RNA from Microsporidia sp., 74 nucleotides. It matches the Rfam family "tRNA". Rfam says of the family: Transfer RNA (tRNA) molecules are approximately 80 nucleotides in length. Their secondary structure includes four short double-helical elements and three loops (D, anti-codon, and T loops). The record is from Rfam. Lineage: Eukaryota; Fungi; Microsporidia.